UGAGAAUGAGAGAGUGUAAAUCGAUUUUUAGGUGCAUUAAGAGCUUCAAAUUGGUGGUUUUUGGUGGUUGGUGUAUUGAUGGCAAUGACAAUAUUGUGAAUACUUGAGGAAGAUGAGGGUAAUAGAGUAAAAUAUGCAUUUUCGAAAAAAAAAAGAAAAAAAAAGUGAUGGCAUUUUUGUAAAUAAUUUGAACUUUGAGG
RNAcentral lists this long non-coding RNA (200 nucleotides) under Brassica napus (rape). Its description in RNAcentral is "long non-coding RNA (BNAP_LNC010235)". Lineage: Eukaryota; Viridiplantae; Streptophyta; Magnoliopsida; Brassicales; Brassicaceae. The record is from RNAcentral.